AACGAACGCUGGCGGCAGGCUUAACACAUGCAAGUCGAGCGCCCCGCAAGGGGAGCGGCAGACGGGUGAGUAACGCGUGGGAACAUACCCUUUGGUUCGGAAUAACUCAGGGAAACUUGAGCUAAUACCGGAUACGUCCGUAAGGAGAAAGAUUUAUCGCCAAAGGAUUGGCCCGCGUCCGAUUAGCUAGUUGGUGAGGUAACGGCUCACCAAGGCUACGAUCGGUAGCUGGUCUGAGAGGAUGAUCAGCCACAUUGGGACUGAGACACGGCCCAAACUCCUACGGGAGGCAGCAGUGGGGAAUAUUGGACAAUGGGCGCAAGCCUGAUCCAGCCAUGCCGCGUGAGUGAUGAAGGCCUUAGGGUUGUAAAGCUCUUUUGUCCGGGAAGAUAAUGACUGUACCGGAAGAAUAAGCCCCGGCUAACUUCGUGCCAGGAGCCGCGGUAAU
RNAcentral lists this ribosomal RNA (448 nucleotides) under uncultured bacterium. Its description in RNAcentral is "bacterial SSU rRNA". It matches the Rfam family "Bacterial small subunit ribosomal RNA", at positions 29 to 524 of the family's 1533-position model. The record is from RNAcentral.